UAAUACGUAGGCAGCGAGCGUUGUUCGGAAUUACUGGGCGUAAAGAGUGUGUAGGCGGUGCUCUAAGUUCGGUGUGAAAUCUCCUGGCUCAACUGGGAGGGUGCGCCGGAAACUGGAGUGCUCGAGCGUGGGAGAGGAAAGCGGAAUUCCUGGUGUAGCGGUGAAAUGCGUAGAUAUCAGGAGGAACACCUGUGGUGUAGACAGCUUUCUGGACCAUAGCUGACGCUGAGACACGAAAGCGUGGGUAGCAAACAGGAUUAGAUACCCUGGUAGUCCACGCCCUAAACGAUGCAUACUUGGUGUCGGCCAUUCAGUUGGUCGGUGCCGGAGCUAACGCGUUAAGUAUGCCGCCUGGGGAGUACGGUCGCAAGGCU
This 374-nucleotide ribosomal RNA is filed under the name uncultured bacterium. RNAcentral describes it as "bacterial SSU rRNA". It matches the Rfam family "Bacterial small subunit ribosomal RNA", at positions 521 to 895 of the family's 1533-position model. The record is from RNAcentral.